This 414-nucleotide long non-coding RNA is filed under the name Ananas comosus (pineapple). Its description in RNAcentral is "long non-coding RNA (ACOM_LNC017440)". The record is from RNAcentral. Lineage: Eukaryota; Viridiplantae; Streptophyta; Magnoliopsida; Poales; Bromeliaceae.
UAUGAACUAGGUUAUUAUACUAUUAAUAGCACUAAGUUAUUGGUGCUAUUAGGGUUUCUUCCAUUGGAUGAAGAGAUAUAGGGUUAGAAUAAUAGUAGUCUUCUAAGGCUGAGUGGAUGGUUUGUUGAAUAGUAUGAUCUGACGGAUGAAAAUGAUCAAAUGGGUAGACCUAACGGCGAAAAACUGUAGCACCAAGAGGAGUAAACUUGUAAUUUAAAUAAUUAUUACUCGCCAGCAGUAAUACGAGAUACCCACUCUUCAUUCGGUAAUAUUUUCGGAGUAAUCUUACAUCAUUUAUAAUGCUAAUUUGCCAAUUAUAUUAUAAACUGGAUGACCCAAAUAUAAUAAUCUUGACAAAAAUACCUAUAGUUCUGACAAGAUAAUCCGAACCAAAUAAGCCCUUUUUAAAUUAUG